Molecule: ribosomal RNA, 468 nt
Filed under: uncultured bacterium
Lineage: Bacteria
Description: partial 16S ribosomal RNA
Rfam family: Bacterial small subunit ribosomal RNA
Source: RNAcentral
GACGAACGCUGGCGGCGUGCUUAACACAUGCAAGUCGAACGGAAAGGCCCUGCUUUUGUGGGGUGCUCGAGUGGCGAACGGGUGAGUAACACGUGAGUAACCUGCCCUUGACUUUGGGAUAACUUCAGGAAACUGGGGCUAAUACCGGAUAGGAGCUCCUGCUGCAUGGUGGGGGUUGGAAAGUUUCGGCGGUUGGGGAUGGACUCGCGGCUUAUCAGCUUGUUGGUGGGGUAGUGGCUUACCAAGGCUUUGACGGGUAGCCGGCCUGAGAGGGUGACCGGCCACAUUGGGACUGAGAUACGGCCCAGACUCCUACGGGAGGCAGCAGUGGGGAAUAUUGCACAAUGGGCGGAAGCCUGAUGCAGCAACGCCGCGUGCGGGAUGACGGCCUUCGGGUUGUAUACCGCCUUCGCCUGUGACGAAGCGUGAGUGACGGUAAUGGGUAAAGAAGCACCGGCUAACUACGUG